ACGGAAGGCAGCAGUGGGGAAUAUUGCACAAUGGGCGCAAGCCUGAUGCAGCCAUGCCGCGUGUAUGAAGAAGGCCUUCGGGUUGUAAAGUACUUUCAGUCGUGAGGAAGGUGUUAAGGUUAAUAACCUUAGCAAUUGACGUUAGCGACAGAAGAAGCACCGGCUAACUCCGUGCCAGCAGCCGCGGUAAUACGGAGGGUGCGAGCGUUAAUCGGAAUUACUGGGCGUAAAGGGCACGCAGGCGGUUAAUAAGUUGGAUGUGAAAUCCCCGGGCUUAACCUGGGAAUGGCAUUCAAGACUGGUUAGCUAGAGUCUUGUAGAGGGGGUAGAAUUCCAUGUGUAGCGGUGAAAUGCGUAGAGAUGUGGAGGAAUACCGGUGGCGAAGGCGGCCCCUGGGACAAAGACUGACGCUCAUGUGCGAAAGCGUGGGGAGCAAACAGGAUUAGAUACC
Molecule: ribosomal RNA, 451 nt
Filed under: uncultured bacterium
Lineage: Bacteria
Description: bacterial SSU rRNA
Rfam family: Bacterial small subunit ribosomal RNA
Source: RNAcentral